RNAcentral lists this ribosomal RNA (253 nucleotides) under uncultured bacterium. RNAcentral describes it as "partial 16S ribosomal RNA". It matches the Rfam family "Bacterial small subunit ribosomal RNA", at positions 524 to 776 of the family's 1533-position model. The record is from RNAcentral.
GACGAACCACACAAACGUUAUUCGGAAUUACUGGGCUUAAAGGGUGCGUAGGCGGCGCGGAAAGUUGGGUGUGAAAUCCCUCGGCUCAACCGAGGAACUGCGCUCAAUACUACCGUGCUCGAGGGAGACAGAGGUGAGCGGAACUUAGGGUGGAGCGGUGAAAUGCGUUGAUAUCCUAAGGAACACCCGUGGCGAAAGCGGCAUGCUGGAUCUCUUCUGACGCUGAGGCGCGAAAGCUAGGGGAGCAAACGGG